Molecule: ribosomal RNA, 256 nt
Filed under: uncultured bacterium
Lineage: Bacteria
Description: partial 16S ribosomal RNA
Rfam family: Bacterial small subunit ribosomal RNA
Source: RNAcentral
UAAUACGGAGGGUGCAAGCGUUAUCCGGAUUUAUUGGGUUUAAAGGGUGCGUAGGCGGACUAGUAAGUCAGUGGUGAAAUCCUCGAGCUCAACUCGAGAACUGCCAUUGAUACUGCUAGACUAGAGUACAGUUGAGGUAGGCGGAAUGUGUUGUGUAGCGGUGAAAUGCAUAGAUAUAACACAGAACACCAAUCGCGAAGGCAGCUUACCAAGUUGUAACUGACGCUGAAGCACGAAAGCGUGGGGAUCAAACAGG